GCUGAGUAAUGCUCUGGGAACUUGCCUUUAGGAGGGGGAUAACCACGGGAAACUGUGGCUAAUACCGCAUAAUGUCUACGGACCAAAGUGGGGGAUCUUCGGACCUCACACCUAAAGAUAGGCCCAAGCGAGAUUAGCUUGUUGGUGGGGUAAGGGCUCACCAAGGCGACGAUCUCUAGCUGUUCUGAGAGGAUGAUCAGCCCCACUGGGACUGAAACACGGCCCAGACUCCUACGGGAGGCAGCGGUGGGGAAUAUUGCACAGUGGGGGAAACGCUGAUGCAGCCCUGCCGCGUGUGUGAAAAAAGCCUUCGGGUUGUAAAGCACAUUUAGUGGUGAGGAAGGCCAUGUCGUUAAUAGCUGCGCGGAUUGACUUUAGCCACAGAAAAAAGCACCGGCUA
RNAcentral lists this ribosomal RNA (400 nucleotides) under uncultured Idiomarina sp. RNAcentral describes it as "bacterial SSU rRNA". It matches the Rfam family "Bacterial small subunit ribosomal RNA", at positions 105 to 499 of the family's 1533-position model. Lineage: Bacteria; Pseudomonadati; Pseudomonadota; Gammaproteobacteria; Alteromonadales; Idiomarinaceae. The record is from RNAcentral.